UAGGACACUCUAUACGGAGUUACAAAGGACGACAUUAGACGAAUCAUCUGGAAAGAUGAAUCAAAGAAGGUAAUAAUCCUGUAGUCGAAAAUGUUGUCUCUCUUGAGUGGAUCCUGAGUACGACGGAGCACGUGAAAUUCCGUCGGAAUCUGGGAGGACCAUCUCCUAAGGCUAAAUACUCUCUAGUGACCGAUAGUGAACCAGUACCGUGAGGGAAAGGUGAAAAGCACCCCGGAAGGGGAGUGAAAUAGAACC
This 255-nucleotide ribosomal RNA is filed under the name Staphylococcus aureus. Its description in RNAcentral is "partial 23S ribosomal RNA". It matches the Rfam family "Bacterial large subunit ribosomal RNA", at positions 296 to 550 of the family's 2925-position model. The record is from RNAcentral. Lineage: Bacteria; Bacillati; Bacillota; Bacilli; Caryophanales; Staphylococcaceae. RNAcentral also lists the same sequence under 1 other name.